This 301-nucleotide ribosomal RNA is filed under the name uncultured bacterium. RNAcentral's name for it is "partial 16S ribosomal RNA". It matches the Rfam family "Bacterial small subunit ribosomal RNA", at positions 509 to 807 of the family's 1533-position model. The record is from RNAcentral.
CAGCAGCCGCGGUAAUACGAAGGGUGCAAGCGUUACUCGGAAUUACUGGGCGUAAAGCGUGCGUAGGUGGUGGUUUAAGUCCGUUGUGAAAGCCCUGGGCUCAACCUGGGAAUUGCAGUGGAUACUGGAUCACUAGAGUGUGGUAGAGGAUAGUGGAAUUUCCGGUGUAGCAGUGAAAUGCGUAGAGAUCGGAAGGAACAUCUGUGGCGAAGGCGACUAUCUGGGCCAACACUGACACCGAGGCACGAAAGCGUGGGGAGCAAACAGGAUUAGAUACCCGUGUAGUCCCUGUCUCUUAUAC